GCGAGUGUAACUCAGUGGUAGAGUAGUACGUUCCCAACGUACCUGUCGUGGGUUCGAUCCCCAUCACUCGCUC
RNAcentral lists this transfer RNA (73 nucleotides) under Anatilimnocola aggregata. RNAcentral describes it as "Planctomycetes bacterium ETA_A8 tRNA-Gly". It matches the Rfam family "tRNA". Rfam says of the family: Transfer RNA (tRNA) molecules are approximately 80 nucleotides in length. Their secondary structure includes four short double-helical elements and three loops (D, anti-codon, and T loops). The record is from RNAcentral. Lineage: Bacteria; Pseudomonadati; Planctomycetota; Planctomycetia; Pirellulales; Pirellulaceae.